This 902-nucleotide long non-coding RNA is filed under the name Homo sapiens (human). Its description in RNAcentral is "non-protein coding lnc-LDB2-4:1". The record is from RNAcentral. Lineage: Eukaryota; Metazoa; Chordata; Mammalia; Primates; Hominidae.
GGCACUGUUCUAAACAAUGGGAAUAAUAACGAUAUGGACAUUGUGACAUUGUGAGAGCUAAUGAACAUUAUCCAUUCAUACAUAUUUUUUAUAUAUAUAUAUAUAUAUAUAUAUAUAUAUAUAUAUAUAUAUAUAUAUAUACACACACACAUACACAACAAUGUCCAUAUAAUAUUAUUAUUUUCACUUGCAGAUAAGCGACCUUGGUCACAAAGAGUUAAAUAACUUGUCCAAGAUCACACAGCUAAGAGAUUCCAAGGUCUGGGCACACUUGCUGCAAAUGAGAGGUGCAUGAACUUAGCAUAUUAAACACUGGUGUGUCACUGGUCUGAGAGAAGAUCUCUAACCCAAGCUGGCCCAAUAAUUGGACCUGAGCUCAUGGCCACUAAUUGGUCCAAAUUGUGUGGGUGUCACCCAAGUUUGUGCCAAUCACAAUAUUUCCUGUGAGCGUUUGCCUCUGGAGACCAAGUUCAGAAGAAGCAAAGCAAAGAGCUGCAACAUCAUCUGUAGAAACUGGGAGAGAUCAGCGCUCCAAAAACAGAGAAAAGCCAAGAGUGACAGCGAGUAAAUCUUGGUGGAGUUCAGGUCUCUCAGUCUAGUUUUCGAGGUGCUGGAUUUGCCUUUCCUUCCCAAAGCCUGGAUUCUGGCUUUUAGUGGACGCUGAGAGCAACUCCAUAAUCUUCAGCUGGUUCCAGUUGGGUUCAUGCAUCUUGUCACCAAAAGUUGCACAUACAGGAAAGUGACUGACUAGAAGAGGUCAGUGCAGAUUCCCACCAUCAUCCUGCAGACCUGCAGAGCAUUAUCCCUCCAGGGUACUCUGACUCGGAGGAGAGGAAGAGUACGCCGAGGGAUGGCGAGAGCUAGAAACAGCGCGAGAAGGCAGGCGAGGAUGGCUACGGGAA